ACCUACAACGGCCCUAAUACAUGUAUUCAGCACUCAUGCUAUACACUCUCUCUCUCUCACACACACACACACACACACACACACACACACACACACACACACACACACACACACAGAGUAAUGUCAAUACUAUACAACUAACAAUAUUAUAUCUAUCAUACCCAUGUGACUGAUAACCAUCAGUUCAGAAGGUUUCUUUUUAUCAUAAUAUUUUUGACAGCACAAAUAGUAAACCUUGGGAGAUUUCAGGCUGCACUGAUGAACACUGAACUCCAAACACCGACGGCUUAAACUGAAACUGUAUACACAACAUGGCUGAUGAUUGCUUCACUGCAAUGCUGAACAUUUAAUUAGAAGUGUACACAAGACACACGAGUGUAACAGUGCUACAACACACCUCAGGACUGCUCACAGUAUCGAAAACACACUCUUCUCAACAGCUAUACGUAUGACUAACUUAUUACCGACUCAAACACACAUAAUACCACAAUAUGGCUGUACUUCCUGUGUGAUCAGAUUUAUGUGUUUACAUAAAGUAAUCUGUGACAGUUUAACUGCUCGGCACCUGUCCCCUUUCCUCUUUCUUUCUAUUAAGCUGAAUGAGCCGUCCUGUCCCUGUUCCUCUCUGUGUAUCAGUUUAAACCAAAUCCAGCACACAAGCAAUCUCUGGAUUUCUACAUCUAGUAGAAUUGCUUCAGCAUUGCAUCAUGAGUCGCCCUGAAGCCACUCAUAGCAUGCAGAAUUCAUGACGAUGAUCCAACUAAGAGCAAGGAAAUGACUCAAAACAUCCCAGUGAGUUUGGAUCACAGUAUCCUGGGGGCCCGGCUGGUCCUACUGGUCCGGGAAUGCCCGGUCUGCCGGGAGCACCAGGGUUGCCAGGACGACCAGAUGGGCCAGGGCUGCCUCUUCUUCCCUCACCAGGCAAAUGUAAAAACCUGUGAUGGGAUCCCACACAUCAAACAAAUGGCAGUUUCAGAAUAUUUUUACAACAAUGUAGACAAGAUCGGGAGCUCAGAGAUAUAAAUAUUACAAGACUCUAAAAACAUUUUAAUACCUGAAUUAAAAGUGUUCGGUCUGCUGAGUCAUGUGGAACAAAAGCCUUCACCCGAUCAUGGGGAGUUUGAAUUCUAAGGAUGCCACAGCUGUCCGUCUCCAGAGCAUAAUUAUCUGUGCUUUCUGAAUGGGAGUGAUGGCGUGACUUGUUUGCCUGUCAAUCACAGUGACACUAAAAAAUACUGGGCUUUCACAUUUUGAGCUUUUCUCUGAGUGUGUUCAGCUGUGAUGGGUUCAUGUAUCUUGGGUGCAAUCUAGAUAUUUAUGCAUAUUCUGUAUUUUGUAUAUUCUACAGUGUACAGUGUCUUGCAAAAGUAUUCAUCCCCCUUUGUGUUGGUUCUGUUUUGUCGCAUUACAAACUGGAAUGUAGAACCAGAGCAAGUGGGUGGAGCACAGAAGCAUGGCAAGCCAGAACUGAGUUCUCAGAAACUUUUUAUUUUCUGUUUUAUAGGUGGCUUUUCAGCUCAUUCACUCCCACACACACAUGCAUUCGGGUUGGGAGAUAGCUCCCUUUCUCUGCGUGGUCACUGGGGAAGACACACAAACACAGGUUAACUCACAUCAGGUGCAGUGAUUCUGCCACUUACCUUCCCUGACUCCAGUCUCCAUUCACAGACCAACGCUUGACCCCGCCCCUGCUGCCACAUACCCCCAUUGCCCGACUCAGGCCGGGGAGCAGUCCGGCCUGCAGCCACCCCCCCCCCCCCCCCCCCUUGACGGGAGAGGAAAUCCGCCACGACCAUCUGUGCCCCCAGCCUGUGGACCACCUUGAACUUAAAUGGCUGGAGUGCCAGAUACCAACGGGUGAUCCGUGUGUUUGCAUCCUUCAUGCAGUGGAGCCACUGGAGGGGCGCGUGGUCCGAACAGAGGGUGAAAGGGCGUCCCAGUAGGUAGUAGCAGAGGGCGAGAACUGCCCACUUGGUGGCGAGGCACUCCUUUUCUAUGGUGCUGUACCGGCCCUCACGCACCGACAGCUUCCAGCUGAUGUACAGCACUGGAUGAUCCUCCCCCUCCACCUCCUGGGACAGAACAGCCCCCAGCCCUCUGUCCGAUGCGUCCGUCUGCAAAACAAAGGGGAGAGAAAAGUCAAGGGAGUGUAACAGUGGUCCCCCACACUGUGCAGCCUAUACCUCAGAGAAAGCCCACUGGCAUUGCUCCAUCCACUGGACCAGAUCUGGUGCCCCCUUUUUAGUGAGAUCAGUCAGCAGGCUGGUGACGUCUGAAUAAUUAGGUAUAAACCUAUGAUAGUAGCCAGCCAGCCCCAGGAACUGUCUCACCCCCUUUUUGGUCUUGGGCCUCAGGCAGGCCGCAAUUGCUGUUGUCUUAUUAAUUAGGGGACGCACCUGUCCAUUGCCCAAGUGGAAGCCCAGAUACCGUACUUCCACCCACCCAAUCGCACACUUCUUCGGGUUGGCUGUGAGACCCGUUCGCCUCAGUGACCUAAGGAUGGCCCUUAGAUGUUUUAGGUGUCGCGGCCAGUCAUUACUAUAAAUAAUGAUGUCAUUCAAGUAUGCAUCUGCGUAGGUGGCAUGGGGGUGGAGGACCCUAUCCAUAAGCCGCUGGAACAUAGCGGGCGCCCCAAACAGCCCAAAAGGAAGUGUGACGAACUGGUGUAAGCCAAACAGUGUAGAAAAGGCCGUUUUCUCUCGGGAUAACAGAGUCAAGGGGAUCUGCCAAUAUCCUUUUGUCAAAUCCAGUGUCGAAUAAAAACAAGCCAUGCCUAGUCGAUCAAGCAACUCAUCAAUACGAGGCAUUGGGUAUGCAUCAAAUUUAGACACUGCGUUGACUUUUCUAUAGUCCACACAGAACUGGACCGACCCGUCGGCCUUAGGAACCAAGACCACCGGGCUGCUCCAGUCACUGUGGGACUCCUCCACGAUGUCCAUUUCGAGCAUGGCCUUGAGUUCUUCCCGAACCACCUUUUUUUUGUGUUCGGGCAGUCUGUAAGGGUGGCUGUGCACUACCACCCCCGGGGGCAUCUCAAUGUGGUGUUCUAUGAGGUGGGUCCGGCCGGGCAGGGGCGAGAAUAUGUCAGAAAAUUCUGUCUGCAACUGGGUGACCUCCGUGAGUUGGGUCUCCACAGGGGACCGGAGCAGUGGGUGAUGUCAAUUGUACUUUUUGAACCUCCGGCCCCAGCUCCACCUUCUCUGGAACCACCGACACCAAUGCCACGGGGACCUCCUCGUUCCAAAGUUUUAACAGAUUGAGGUGGUAAAUCUGUAACGCCCCGCCCCUGUCCGUUCGCCGCACCUCAUAGUCGACGUCCCUGACUCGCCGUGUGACCUCAAAGGGUCCCUGCCACCUGGCGAUCAAUUUGGAGCUCGACGUGCACAACAACACGGGUAGUUUAUCUCCCGGUGUGAAUUCCCUAAGGCGCGUGCCCCUGUCGUACAGACGGACUUGACGUUCUUGGGCCUGCUGCAAAUUCUCCUGGGUUAGGUGUGUGAGGGUGUGGAGUUUGGUGUGCAGGUCGAUAACGUAUUGAAUUUCAUUUUUGCUUCUUGAAUGUCCCCCCUCCCAAUUUUCAUGCAGCACAUCUAAAAUGCCACUCGGCUUACGCCCGUAUAAUAAUUCAAACGUGGAGAACCCCGUGGAGGCUUGUGGGACCUCUCGCACUGCGAAUAACAGGGGCUCGAGCCAUUUAUCCCAGCUACGUGUGUCCUCGCUUACAAAUUUUUGAAUAAUGUUCUUGAGGGUGCGGUUGAACUGUUCGACUAAGCCAUCCUUUUGUGGGUGAUAAACGCUGGUGCAGAUAGGCUUAAUUCCCAGUAACCCAUACAGUUCACGCAGUGUGCGUGACAUAAACGUAGUGCCUUGAUCAGUCAGAAUCUCUUUGGGAGAGUCUGACACUCUUAGGAGAGUCAUAAAUGACAACACAUGUUCUCUUUGAGCAAGCUCUCUCUCGGAUCUCAACCAAAAUGUCAGACUCUGUAGAUGAUUUACUGGAAAUUUUUAAUUUAAAUAUGACCCAAAUUAUGGAUGAUAUUGCUCCAUUCAAAAUCAAAAGAGUCAAUGAUAAGCAGAAAGCACCAUGGAAGCAAUACCCAGCUGUUAAACUGUUAAAGAGAGAAUGUAGAAAGACUGAAAGAAAAUGGCGCAAAACUAAACUUCACAUCCAUUAUCAAAUCCAUAAAGAGAUGCUUUGUAAAUAUAAUUAUGAAAUUCGUAAAGCAAGACAGUCUUUCUUCUCCAACAUCAUCAACAGGAAUAUGAACAAUGCCCGUGUGCUAUUUUCAACAGUAGAGAAGCUAACAAAUCCCCCACCACAAUUAGCACCUGAACUUCUCUCAGUUAAUAAAUGCAAUGAGUUUGCAUCCUUCUUUAAAGGUAAAAUUGAUAAAAUAUGACAUAAUAUUGCUCAUAAUAUAUCUCAGUUGCAAAUAAUUGAAAAACUGCAAUCACCAGUGACACAGACAGAUAACUUCAACACAAUGUCAGAAUUUUGUUUAAUUGAUUAUGAGACUCUUGAAAAAACUGUACAAAAUCUCAGUUCCUCAACAUCUGAAUUGGACAUUCUGCCCACCAACUUUUUUAAGUCUGUUCUACAUCUUAUAAUUACAGAUGUGCUUCAAAUCAUAAAUACAUCCCUAGAGACUGGCAUUGUUCCUGUGUCCUUGAAAAAAGCCGUUGUAAAACCCCUACUUAAAAAGAAUAAUCUGGAUGCUUCAGUAUUAAAUAACUACAGGCCAAUAUCAAAUCUACCAUUCAUCGGGAAAAUCCUUGAAAAAAUUGUCUUCAAUCAAUUAACUGCCUUCUUGAUAUCAAACAGCUGUUUUGAUAACUUUCAAUGAGGAUUUCGUGCCAAUCAUAGCACUGAAACAGCGCUGAUUAAAGUAAUAAAUGACAUACGUCUUAAUACUGAUGCAGGCAAAACAUCGGUCCUGGUAUUACUGGACCUCAGUGCAGCUUUUGAUACUGCUGAUCACAACAUAGUGCUAUAUCGACUUGAACAGUGGGUUGGGUUGACUGGUAAAGUUAUCAAUUGGUUAAAAUCAUACUUAAAAGAUAGAAGCUUCUUUGUUACCAUGGGAAAUUGUACCUCAACGUCAAUGUCCUUGACCUGUGGUGUCCCCCAGGGGUCGAUUCUUGGACCAUUACUAUUCAACCUUUAUAUGCUCCCACUUGGGCAAAUUAUCAAGAACAAUUCAAUUUUAUAUCACUGCUAUGCAGAUGACACCCAAAUUUAUCUUGCUCUAUCACCUAAUGAUUAUGCCCCCCUUGAAUGUCUCUACCAAUGUAUCGAUCAAAUCAACAACUGGAUGUCACAAAAUUUUCUUCAGCUGAACACAGAUAAAACAAGUAAUUCUAUUUGGAAAAAAAGAUGAAAGACUCAGGAUUACCACUAUUCUUGACACAAAGGGGAUUAAAACAAAAGAAAUGGUUAAAAAUCUUGGUGUUUUCAUUGACAGCGAGCUAAACUUUGACAGUCACAUGAAAGCAAUCACUAAAACGGCAUUUUAUCACCUUAAAAACAUUUCCAAACUAAGAGGACUUAUGUCAAAAAAUGAUCUGGGAAAACUUAUACAUGCCUUCAUCUCUAGUAGGGUUGAUUACUGCAAUGGCCUUUUCACAGGCCUGCCAAAAAAAACCCUCAAACGACUUCAGCUGGUUCAAAAUGCAGCAGCUACGGUUCUCACACAAACAAAAAGAACAGAGCACAUUACUCCAAUUCUAAGGUCCCUUCACUGGCUUCCAGUAAGCUACAGAAUUGACUUUAAAGCAUUGCUGCUGGUGUACAAAUCUCUAUAGGGCCCAAUUACCUCUCUGAUAUGUUGCAGCAGCCUAACCCAAUCAGAUCUACCAGAUCGCAGCAGAAAAAUUUACUGUUAAAACCUGUUGUUAAAACAAAGUGUGGUGAAGCAGCUUUUAGCUACUAUGCAGUACAGCUAUGGAACCAACUGCCAGAGGACAUCAAAAAUGCUCCUGCUGUUGGCAGCUUCAAAUCUAGGUUAAAGACCAAGCUGUUUUCAGAUGCUUUCUGCUAAAUUAUUAAUAUUGCCAUCUCUACAUGUUUUAAACUCUUUACUUUUACAGUCUCUCCAUGUUUUAAAUUUUACUUAACUUUUAUUCUAUUUUAUUCAGCUUUUUUUUUUAAUUGAACUUUUAUCUCAUUUUAUUAUUUUAUUUCUACUAUUGUUUAAUUCUUAUUAAUUUUCUUCCCCAUUUAUUUUAUGUAAUUUUAUUUUCUAUUGUUUACUGUUUUGCUUUUACUUCUGUAAAGCACAUUGAACUGCCACUGUGUAUGAAAUGUGCUAUAUAAAUAAACUUGCCUUGCCUUUGGGGAUUCCGACUCAGGAGAUGACGUGGAAGAGUGCUUCCGCAAUACUGCGUGCUGAGAUAUUGCAAAGAGGCACUGCUUCUGGAUAUCGCGUUGCAUAGUCCACCAGAACUAAAAUAAAGCGAUAUCCUCAUGUUGACUGAUCUAAUGGCCCGACGAGAUCCAUCCCAAAUCUUUCGAACGGGGUCUCGAUUAAUGGCAGAGGGCGCAAAGGCGCUUUUGGAAUGGCCGCUGGAUUUACUAACUGCCAUUCGCGGCACGCCGUACACCACCUACGGACAUUGAUGCGAAUCCCUGGCCAAUAGAACCGGGCCAUUAUUCGGGCUAGUGUCUUAUCCUUCCCUCAGUGUCUGGCCAUGGGAUUAAAGUGAGCCGCCUGGAAUAUAAAUUCCUGGCCGCUCUUUGGGAUCAAAAGCUGUGUUAUCAGUUCCUUUGUCUGAGUGUCCUGCGUCACUUGGUAUAACCUAUCCUUAAUCAUGGAGAAACAGGGGAAGGACAGGGUGGCAUUUGGCUGGAGCGUUUGACCAUCGAUUACUCUCACUUGGUCAAACGCAUGCCACAGAGUCUCGUCUCGCGACUGCUCUAACGGGAAAUCCAUGAGGGAUUCCCUGAGAGAGGGAGGAGGAGCCUGCUGCUCCUCACUCUGACGUGGUGAUGACGUAGACGGCUCUGUGACAGCUGCUCCCACCAAUGCCACACCAGGACCUUCCCCCGCGAAAUUAUGGCAGGCCCCACUCUUCACUAAAUGUGACAUUAAUUCCUGGUGUCUCUCUCCCUUCUCUAAUGGAUAUUUAUAACUCCUGCCUCACCCGCAAAGCCAUCAGGAUUGCAGGUGACCCCACCCACCCAUCUCACAGCCUCUUCAGUCUGCUGCCGUCGGGGAGGAGACUGCGGAGUCUCCGGGCCAAAACCAGCAGGCUCAAGAACAGUUUCUUUCACCAGGCGGUCAGGAGGCUCAACUCCCUACCUGUUCUGCCACUCCUCCCCCCUCUGGCUCCUGCCACAGAUUCUGCUUGCACACCCCCCUUCAGCAUCUGACAUGUCACCCUCACACUCCCCCCCCCCCCCCAACACACACACACACACACACACACACACACACACACACACUCUCUCUCUCAACGUUCAUUAACGCACUGAACUCAGGGACUGCACAUUUCACUUUACCUCGCUCAUUUGCACUAUUCCACACUACCUCACCUUAACAGCCAUUAGUUUAUUGUUUAUACUGCUUAUUUAAUGUUUACCUGCUAUACCUCAAGUGCCCUUGACUGUUUAUUUGCACCAAUUUACGUGUGUGUGUGUGUGCGUGAGUGUUUUAGUCUAUGUCUAGUUCUUAUCUAGAAUCUUUAUACUGUUUAUAUUGUUUGUUUAUGAGUGUUUAGUCUAUGUCUAGUUCUUAUCUAGAGUGUUUAUACUGUUUAUAUCAUUUGUUUGAGUGUUUAGUCUAUGUCUAGUUCUUAUCUAAAGUGUUUAUUCUGUUUAUAUUGUUUGUUUUUUCAAUUAUUCUAUUUUUAUUUAUUGCAUUGCCUGCUUGCACCGUGGAUCAGAGAGGACUGAAAUUUCAUCUGUGCAGUAUGUUGAGCAUGUAUAGCAUAUUUGACAAUAAAGUUGACUUGACUUGAAAUCCCGGCCAAUCAGUCCCCAAAAUUAUCGAGUGCGUAAGGCGAGGAUUAACCGCCGCCUUUACUCUAAAUUUAUCCCCUCGAAAUAGAAUGUGGACCGACACUAAAGGGUAGUUGUAAACAUCCCCGUGCACACACAACACCUUCACCAAUUGUGCUCUCCCCAAUGCCUCAUCUUGCACCAGGCUUUGGUGGAUUGAGGUCUGAUUACAGUCGGAGUCCACCAAAGCCUGAUACGUAUCCCCUUGGAUACUCACCAGUAUGCGAUAUGCUCCGGCCCGAUUGAGGGCGGUCCCUGGCGCAUCGGGGAUCCGGACCACCGUGACAACCUCCAUUGCCGAGCACUGAUGCUGGAGGUGCCCCGGCUCCCCACAGCGCCAGCAUACCGGCCCAGGCUCUCCCUCUGCACCGGGGUUUCAGAGCUCACUCACCUGAGGGGGGGGAAGACACAGACAUGGAAGUAGGAAAUGGUAGGGCACCGCGGGUGCGGUGGGCCGGUUGGGGUGGAGCCAGCCCCAGCCUCCGCGGUGGGGGAAUGGGGUGAGGACGAGAAACAGAAGGGGAGAGAGAGAGAGAAGAGAGAAGAGGAGAUACGCUGUCCUGCUGUCGGAACAGCCGCCAUAUGGUCCUCCGCCAGCUCGAUGGCCUGAUCCAGCGACGCUGGGCGAUGGCACUGGACCCACUCUGCUGUUCCUUCCGGAAGUCGGGCGGUGAAUUGUUCCAGCGCCACCAGGUCGAUGAUUCCCUCGGCAUCAUGGUUGUUGGCCCUCAGCCACUGCCAGCAGGCGUCCCGGAGCUGCUGGCCAAAUGCGAACAACCGGCCAACAUCCUCCAGGCGCAGCGUGCAGAAGUGCUGCCAUUGCUGCUCCGAGGUGCACCUUACACAUUGGAGGACUGCCCUGUGGAGGUCGGCAUAGACCAGCCGGCUGUCGGCGGGGAGCUGUAGCGCAGCCAGCUGCGCCUCGCCCGUUAGCAGGGGGAGGAGGCGUGCCGUGCACUGUUCCACCGGCCAACCCUAUGCCUAAGCUGCCUGCUCAAAAAGAGCGAGGAAGGCUUCAGGGUCAUAGUGCGGACCUAUCUUCGUUAGGGUGAGGUGGGGAGGGUCCGCGGCGGUGGUGAUGGUGGACCCCGCCAACACGAGCAGGUGCCGGAACGCCUGGCGAUCUUCCUACUGUGCCAGCACCAGGGCUUCGAACCGUUGUUCUUGCUCCUUCCAGAGGGCAACCAGUGCCUGGUGCUGGCUCUGUUGGACCGAGGCGAGGGCAUGGACCAGGUCCUUGAAGGGGGAGGACUCCAUGGGGCUGUCUCCUUCUGCGCCCCGUCCCGGGUUUCGGCACCACUGUAGAACCAGAGCAAGUGGGUGGAGCACAGAAGCACGGCAGGCCAGAACUGAGUUCUCAGAAACUUUUUAUUUUCUGUUUUAUAGGUGGCUUUUCAGCUCAUUCACUCUCACACACACAUGCAUUCGGGUCAGGAGAGAGCUCCCUUUCUCUGCUCUCUCUCUCCUUUUAUAGGGCGCGGUCACUGGGGAAGACACACAAACACAGGUUAACUCACAUCAGGUGCAGUGAUUCUGCCACUUACCUUCCCUGACUCCACCUUCCAUUCACAGACCGACGCUUGACCAUGCCCCCGCUGCCACAUGGAAUUAAAAUGGAUUUUUGGAGAGUUAGCGCUAUUUGAUUUACACAACAUGUC
Molecule: long non-coding RNA, 9654 nt
Organism: Neoarius graeffei (lesser salmon catfish)
Lineage: Eukaryota; Metazoa; Chordata; Actinopteri; Siluriformes; Ariidae
Exons: 3
Source: RefSeq, a predicted model, not a curated record